UGUACACACCGCCCGUCGCUACUACCGAUUGAAUGGCUCAGUGAGGCCUCCGGACUGGCUCGGAGAGGUUGGCAACGACCACUCCGAGCCGGAAAGUUCGUCAAACUCGGUCAUUUAGAGGAAGUAAAAGUCGUAACAAGGUUUCCGUAGGUGAACCUGCGGAAGGAUCAUUAC
RNAcentral lists this ribosomal RNA (174 nucleotides) under Didymella tanaceti. Its description in RNAcentral is "partial 18S ribosomal RNA". It matches the Rfam family "Eukaryotic small subunit ribosomal RNA", at positions 1661 to 1831 of the family's 1831-position model. The record is from RNAcentral. Lineage: Eukaryota; Fungi; Ascomycota; Dothideomycetes; Pleosporales; Didymellaceae.